Molecule: long non-coding RNA, 1235 nt
Filed under: Homo sapiens (human)
Lineage: Eukaryota; Metazoa; Chordata; Mammalia; Primates; Hominidae
Description: HSALNT0366792
Source: RNAcentral
UGAAGAGGGAUCCUGGAGAAGUAAACUCACUUGAAGAAAGAUAUGAUUUUGACAGUAUCAUGCGCUAUGCCAGGAUCACCUUCUCAAGAGAAGAGGCCACAUGAGGCAAGAAGGCAGCCAUCAGCAAGCCAGGAAGAGAGCCCUCCCCAGAAACCAACCCUGACGGCACUUCAAUCUCAGACUUCCAGGCUCCAGAACUGUGAGAAAAUGCAUUUCUGUUGUUUAAGCCACCCAGUCUGUGGUAGCUGGUAUGGAAGCCCCGGCAAGCUGAUGCACGGUCUUAAGAGGUAGGUAUUAUCAUUCCCAUUUAUAGAUGAGGAAACUGAGGCUCAGAGAGAUUGACUUGACUAAGAUCCACAGGUGGUAAGCCACUCAUCCGCUGCCUUGCAUUGGAGGCUUCCUUUUAGCAAGCCUUUUGUAUUGGCAGAGAAUUUUCUGCACAUAUCCUUGAAGAACCACCUCUUUACCCACGCUAUUUCUAAAGCUCUAGCUGUGACUCUGCCUUCCAGCCUGCUGUGCAGAUCCACACAACAAUGUAACCACAGGGCCUGCUCUGCAAGAUCACCCAGAGCAGGCUUCCCAGUCUCGGAGGUGCAGAAAUGUGCUGUACUUUCUCUGUCCUCCUGCAGUAGUGAGAGGGAGUUUUAUGAUAAGUCGGCUAUACACUUUUCAGCUGGAGAAGAGUGACUUUGUGGCUAGACAGGAUUCCACAUGAGUCCCCUGCUUCCUAAGUGAAGCAUGUGCUUCCUGCUGUGACUGCGACGCUGCAAGGUGCACAGAGAAGCCUUGCUGCAAGGCUUCCAGUCACCUUCCUGUAAGUGCCUUGAGUUCCCAACUGCCUGGCUGCAAGUCCAGUUCAACAUGAACCCUACUGAAGCAAGUUUUGAAGUUUUAGUUUGAACCAGAUGAACUUAUGAUUUUUGUAAGUAAAAAAUGACCAAAUAUCAGCAAUUUCAUGCGAAUCAACCUAAUGUAGUUGGCCCUUUAACCCUGCCCCCUCCGUCUCAUCAUGUCCUCUCAGGCUGUCCUCAGAUCACCCCAGAUCCCUGGCUUCCUCCUCCCACCCUCCCUGGCAGGGUCCCCAUGAUGGACGGGGAUGGACGCCUGGGAGAGAACUCCACAAAGAAACAGAGAGGAAAUGGUCAGAGAGGUAGGAGGAUAGUGUCAGGGUCCAGAACACAUUACCCCAACAUGUGGCCCCUUGGUCUGCUGAAUAUUUUACAUGGAAGGAAAUG